RNAcentral lists this ribosomal RNA (486 nucleotides) under uncultured Acidobacteriota bacterium. Its description in RNAcentral is "bacterial SSU rRNA". It matches the Rfam family "Bacterial small subunit ribosomal RNA", at positions 224 to 704 of the family's 1533-position model. Lineage: Bacteria; Pseudomonadati; Acidobacteriota. The record is from RNAcentral.
GAGGAGCCUGCGGCGGAUUAGCUAGUUGGUAGGGUAACGGCUUACCAAGGCGACGAUCUGUAGCCGGCCUGAGAGGGCGGUCGGCCACACUGACACUGACAUACGGGUCAGACUCCUACGGGAGGCAGCAGUCGGGAAUUUUGGGCAAUGGGCGAAAGCCUGACCCAGCAACGCCGCGUGAAGGAUGAAAUCCCUCGGGAUGUAAACUUCGCAAGAACGGGAAGAAUAAGUGAGAGUUAACACCUCUUACGAUGACGGUACUGUUUGUAAGCUCCGGCUAACUCCGUGCCAGCAGCCGCGGUAAUACGGGGGGAGCAAGCGUUGUUCGGAUUUACUGGGCGUAAAGGGCGCGUAGGCGGCCACCGCAAGUCGACUGUGAAAUCUCCGGGCUUAACUCGGAAAGGUCAGCCGAUACUGCGGGGCUAGAGUGCAGAAGGGGCAACUGGAAUUCUCGGUGUAGCGGUGAAAUGCGUAGAUAUCGAGAGG